UGGGGGAUAUUGCACAAUGGGCGCAAGCCUGAUGCAGCGACGCCGCGUGGGGGAUGAAGGCCUUCGGGUUGUAAACUUCUUUUGCUCUGAACAAGGCGCACUUUGGGGUGUGUUGAGUGUAGGGGUUGAUUAGCGCCGGCUAACUACGUGCCAGCAGCCGCGGUAAUACGUAGGGCGCGAGCGUUGUCCGGAAUUAUUGGGCGUAAAGGGCUUGUAGGUGGCUGGUUGCGUCUGUCGUGAAAGCUCAUGGCUUAACUGUGGGUUUGCGGUGGGUACGGGCUGGCUUGAGUGCAGUAGGGGAGGCUGGAAUUCCUGGUGGAGCGGUGGAAUGCGCAGAUAUCAGGAGGAAUACCGGUGGCGAAGGCGGGUCUCUGGGCUGUUACUGACACUGAGGAGCGAAAGCAUGGGGAGCGAACAGG
Molecule: ribosomal RNA, 419 nt
Filed under: bacterium
Lineage: Bacteria
Description: partial 16S ribosomal RNA
Rfam family: Bacterial small subunit ribosomal RNA
Source: RNAcentral